CCUUCGGGUGGGGAAUAACCCAGGGAAACUUGGGCUAACACCGCAUAAUGCAGCGGCACCAAAUGGUGAAUAGUUGUUAAAGCGGGGGACCCUUCGGGGCCUCGCGCCUGGAGAGGAGCCUGCGGCAGAUUAGCUAGUUGGUGAGGUAAUGGCUCACCAAGGCUUCGAUCUGUAGCUGGUCUGAGAGGACGGCCAGCCACACUGGCACUGACACACGGGCCAG
This 223-nucleotide ribosomal RNA is filed under the name uncultured bacterium. RNAcentral describes it as "partial 16S ribosomal RNA". It matches the Rfam family "Bacterial small subunit ribosomal RNA", at positions 129 to 334 of the family's 1533-position model. The record is from RNAcentral.